AAGCAGAAACAAGUUGACGUAUUUAUCGAUAUAGACAUGGCAUUGAUUUAUUCAAGUGAAUCGAUUGUAGCUACGUUCGGAGGCAUGCAGAGUUCAUAUUCAGACGAAGAUAGGGAUCAGAACAUCAGAUCUGUGUAGUCAUCUAUAGACUAGCGACUAGGAUGGAUGAGAUUUCAUUCAGUCUAUGAAGAAUCAAAGUCUUGGUUCGGGGAGUAUGUCGCAGGCUGAGACUUAAAGAAAUGACGGAGGCACACAAGAGUGGAGGCGUGCGGCGUGAGUUUGACUCAACACGGGAACUACCAGUCCAGACGAAGAUAGAGGAAUGGACAGGAUGAUAGCUCUUCUGAUCUUGUGGUGGUGCAUGGCCUUUCUUGUGUGAUGAUUGUCUGGUAAUUCCGAUAACGAACGAGACCUUAACCUGCUGACUAGUCUUUCUAUUCCGAUAGACAUUGACUUCUUAGAGGGACUAUGUGCUCUAAGCACAAGAGAGAAAGAAGGCAAUAACAGGUCUGUGAUGCCCUUAUAUGUCCUGGGCUGCACGCGUGCUACACUGAUGCAUACAACAAGUGCCUAGCUAGACAUAGUAUGGCAAUCUGGAAUAUGCAUCGUGAUGGGGAUAGAUCUUUGCAAUUAUAGAUCUUGAACGAGGAGAUCCUAGUAAGUGCAAGUCAUCAUCUGCAUUGAUUAUGUCCCUGCCCUUGUACACACCGACCGUCGCUCCUACCGAUACCGGGUGAUCCGGGAACCUUUGGACCUAAUAG
Molecule: ribosomal RNA, 761 nt
Filed under: uncultured rumen protozoa
Lineage: Eukaryota
Description: bacterial SSU rRNA
Rfam family: Eukaryotic small subunit ribosomal RNA
Source: RNAcentral